UACAGAGGGGGCAAGCGUUGUUCGGAAUUACUGGGCGUAAAGGGCGCGUAGGCGGCCUUCUAAGUCGAACGUGAAAUCCCUGGGCUCAACCCAGGAACUGCGUCCGAUACUGGGAGGCUUGAAUCCGGGAGAGGGAUGUGGAAUUCCAGGUGUAGCGGUGAAAUGCGUAGAUAUCAGGAGGAACACCGAUAGCGAAGGCAGCUCGCUGGGACGGUACUGACGCUGAGGCGCGAAAGCGUGGGGAGCGAACAGG
RNAcentral lists this ribosomal RNA (253 nucleotides) under uncultured bacterium. RNAcentral describes it as "partial 16S ribosomal RNA". It matches the Rfam family "Bacterial small subunit ribosomal RNA", at positions 524 to 776 of the family's 1533-position model. The record is from RNAcentral.